Molecule: transfer RNA, 85 nt
Filed under: Felis catus (domestic cat)
Lineage: Eukaryota; Metazoa; Chordata; Mammalia; Carnivora; Felidae
Rfam family: tRNA
About the family: Transfer RNA (tRNA) molecules are approximately 80 nucleotides in length. Their secondary structure includes four short double-helical elements and three loops (D, anti-codon, and T loops).
Source: Rfam by way of RNAcentral
GCCUGAGUAGCUCAGUCAGUUAAGCAUCUGACUUUGGCUCAGGUCAUGACCUCACGGUUUGUGAGUUCGAGCCCUGCAUCAGGCU